GUGUGCAGUGCCCUGCCCAUCCAGGUGCAGUUCACGUACAAUUGGUGUACUGUGCCUUGAAUGGGUAUUGUAAGGCUCA
Molecule: non-coding RNA, 79 nt
Organism: Bos taurus (domestic cattle)
Lineage: Eukaryota; Metazoa; Chordata; Mammalia; Artiodactyla; Bovidae
Source: Rfam